CCAUGUGAUGACCCCAAUUGAAUCUCGUUCGGCUGAACCUGCUGUUGAGAAACAACCACUGAUCCCA
Neopsephotus bourkii (Bourke's parrot) is the source of this 67-nucleotide small nucleolar RNA. RefSeq annotates it as small nucleolar RNA SNORD30. The transcript has a single exon. The record is from RefSeq and is a predicted model, not a curated record. NCBI's taxonomy places the organism in Eukaryota, Metazoa, Chordata, Aves, Psittaciformes, Psittacidae.